GGCUUUUUGAUGUUUAAUUUAAGGUCUAGCCUGCCCAAUGAUUAUUUAAAUGGCCGCGGUAUUUUGACCGUGCUAAGGUAGCAUAAUCAUUAGUUUUUUAAUUGAGGACUGGAAUGAAAGGUUUAAUGAGAAAAUUUCUGUCUCUAAAUAAAAGAUUGAAUUUAAUUUUUGUGUAAAAAAGCUUAAAUUUUUUUGUAAGACGAUAAGACCCUAUAGAGUUUUAUUAAUGUUGAAUUUAUUUAUUUUGGAAAAUAAUAUAAUUUAAAUUUAGUUUUAAUUUGGUUGGGGUGAUCAGAAAAUUAGUUUAACUUUUCUUUGGUGUUUACAUUAAUAAAUGGUUGAUUGGUCCAUAAUUUGUGAUUAUAAGAUUAAAUUACCUUAGGGAUAACAGCGUUAUUUUUCUUGAGAGUUCUUAUUGAAAGAAAAGUUUGCGACCUCGAUGUUGGAUUAAAAUUAAAUUUUGGUGCAGAAGCCAG
This 476-nucleotide ribosomal RNA is filed under the name Chrysodinopsis curtula. Its description in RNAcentral is "partial 16S ribosomal RNA". It matches the Rfam family "Bacterial large subunit ribosomal RNA", at positions 1819 to 2565 of the family's 2925-position model. The record is from RNAcentral. Lineage: Eukaryota; Metazoa; Arthropoda; Insecta; Coleoptera; Chrysomelidae.